AUACGGAGGCUCCUAGUGUUAUCCGGAUUUAUUGGGUUUAAAGGGAGCGUAGGCGGGAGGUCAAGUCAGCUGUGAAAUGUAUCUGCUUAACGGGUACACUGCAGUUGAAACUGGUUUUCUUGAGUGCGUAAGAGGCAGGCGGAAUUUGUUUGGUUACGGUGGAAUGCUUAGAUAUGACGAGGAACUCCUAUUGCGAAGGCAGCUUGCUGGGUCGUUACUGACGCUGAUGCUCGAAGGUGCGGGGAUCAAACAGGAUUAGAUACCCUGGUAGUCCGCACAGUAAACUAUGGAUACUCUCUGCCGGCGAUAUAUUGUCGGAGGCCAAGCGAAAGCGUUAAGUAUCCCACCUGGGGAGUACGCCGGCAACGGUGAAACUCAAAGGAAUUGACGGGG
Molecule: ribosomal RNA, 393 nt
Filed under: uncultured bacterium
Lineage: Bacteria
Description: partial 16S ribosomal RNA
Rfam family: Bacterial small subunit ribosomal RNA
Source: RNAcentral